This 375-nucleotide ribosomal RNA is filed under the name uncultured bacterium. RNAcentral describes it as "bacterial SSU rRNA". It matches the Rfam family "Bacterial small subunit ribosomal RNA", at positions 521 to 896 of the family's 1533-position model. The record is from RNAcentral.
UAAGACGAACCGUGCGAACGUUGUUCGGAAUCACUGGGCUUAAAGGGCGCGUAGGCGGCUGACCAAGUCUGGGGUGAAAUCCUGCAGCUUAACUGUAGAAGUGCCUGGGAUACUGGUCGGCUCGAGGGAGGUAGGGGUCUGUGGAACUGCUGGUGGAGCGGUGAAAUGCGUUGAUAUCAGCAGGAACGCCGGUGGCGAAAGCGACGGACUGGAUCUCUUCUGACGCUGAGGCGCGAAAGCUAGGGGAGCAAACGGGAUUAGAUACCCCGGUAGUCCUAGCCCUAAACGAUGGGUACUAGAUUGUGAACUAACUUGGGUCCACAGUCGAAGCAAAAGUGUUAAGUACCCCGCCUGGGGAGUAUGGUCGCAAGGCUG